RNAcentral lists this ribosomal RNA (481 nucleotides) under uncultured bacterium. RNAcentral describes it as "partial 16S ribosomal RNA". It matches the Rfam family "Bacterial small subunit ribosomal RNA", at positions 28 to 507 of the family's 1533-position model. The record is from RNAcentral.
GAUGAACGCUGGCGGCGUGCUUAACACAUGCAAGUCGAACGAAGCAUUUAGGACAGAUUACUUCGGUUUGAAGUUCUUUAUGACUGAGUGGCGGACGGGUGAGUAACGCGUGGGUAACCUGCCUUGUACUGGGGGAUAGCAGCUGGAAACGGCUGGUAAUACCGCAUAAGCGCACAAUGUUGCAUGACAUGGUGUGAAAAACUCCGGUGGUAUAAGAUGGACCCGCGUCUGAUUAGCUAGUUGGUGAGAUAGCAGCCCACCAAGGCGACGAUCAGUAGCCGACCUGAGAGGGUGACCGGCCACAUUGGGACUGAGACACGGCCCAGACUCCUACGGGAGGCAGCAGUGGGGAAUAUUGCACAAUGGAGGAAACUCUGAUGCAGCGACGCCGCGUGAGUGAAGAAGUAAUUCGUUAUGUAAAGCUCUAUCAGCAGGGAAGAUAGUGACGGUACCUGACUAAGAAGCUCCGGCUAAAUACGUG